CACGAAGUUAGCCGGGGCUUCUUCUCCGGUUACCGUCAUUAUCUUCACCGGCGAAAGAGCUUUACAACCCUAAGGCCUUCAUCACUCACGCGGCAUGGCUGGAUCAGGCUUGCGCCCAUUGUCCAAUAUUCCCCACUGCUGCCUCCCGUAGGAGUCUGGGCCGUGUCUCAGUCCCAGUGUGGCUGGUCAUCCUCUCAGACCAGCUACGGAUCGUCGCCUUGGUGAGCCGUUACCUCACCAACUAGCUAAUCCGACGCGGGCCCAUCCAUCUCCGAUAAAUCUUUCCCCAAAAGGGCGUAUACGGUAUUAGCUCCAGUUUCCCGGAGUUGUUCCGUAGAGAUGGGUAGGUUCCCACGCGUUACUCACCCGUCUGCCGCUCCCCCGAAAGGGCGCUCGACUUGCAUGUGUUAAGCCUGCCGCCAGCGUUCGUUCUGAGCCAGGAUCAAACUCU
RNAcentral lists this ribosomal RNA (451 nucleotides) under uncultured Hyphomicrobiales bacterium. RNAcentral's name for it is "uncultured Rhizobiales bacterium partial 16S ribosomal RNA". Lineage: Bacteria; Pseudomonadati; Pseudomonadota; Alphaproteobacteria; Hyphomicrobiales. The record is from RNAcentral.